This 494-nucleotide ribosomal RNA is filed under the name uncultured bacterium. Its description in RNAcentral is "partial 16S ribosomal RNA". It matches the Rfam family "Bacterial small subunit ribosomal RNA", at positions 28 to 507 of the family's 1533-position model. The record is from RNAcentral.
GACGAACGCUGGCGGCGUGCUUAACACAUGCAAGUCGAACGGAAAGGCCUGCUUUCCCUUGUGGAUUGCGGGUACUCGAGUGGCGAACGGGUGAGUAACACGUGAGUGAUCUGCCCCCAACUUGGGUAUAAGCCUGGGAAACUGGGUCUAAUUCCCGAUAGGACUGCAGGGUGGUGCCUGUGGUGGCAAACGAUUUUCUAGUGGUUGGGGAUGAGCUCGCGGCCUAUCAGCUUGUUGGUGGGGUAAUGGCCUACCAAGGCGGCGACGGGUAGCCGGCCUGAGAGGGUGGACGGCCACAUUGGGACUGAGACACGGCCCAGACUCCUACGGGAGGCAGCAGUGGGGAAUAUUGCACAAUGGGCGGAAGCCUGAUGCAGCGACGCCGCGUGGAGGAUGACGGCCUUCGGGUUGUAAACUCCUUUCGACCGCGAGGAAGCCACCUGGUUGGAAGGGUGGUGACGGUAGUGGUAGAAGAAGCACCGGCUAACUACGUG